UACGAAGGGGGCUAGCGUUGUUCGGAAUUACUGGGCGUAAAGGGCUCGUAGGCGGCCAACUAAGUCAGACGUGAAAUCCCUCGGCUUAACCGGGGAACUGCGUCUGAUACUGGAUGGCUUGAGAUUGGGAGAGGGAUGCGGAAUUCCAGGUGUAGCGGUGAAAUGCGUAGAUAUCUGGAGGAACACCGGUGGCGAAGGCGGCAUCCUGGACCAACACUGACGCUGAGGAGCGAAAGCGUGGGGAGCGAACAGG
Molecule: ribosomal RNA, 253 nt
Filed under: uncultured bacterium
Lineage: Bacteria
Description: partial 16S ribosomal RNA
Rfam family: Bacterial small subunit ribosomal RNA
Source: RNAcentral